Long non-coding RNA from Mustela erminea (ermine), 2959 nucleotides. RefSeq lists it as uncharacterized. The transcript has 2 exons. The record is from RefSeq and is a predicted model, not a curated record. NCBI's taxonomy places the organism in Eukaryota, Metazoa, Chordata, Mammalia, Carnivora, Mustelidae.
GUCAAGUGCUGCCCAUGUCAGCGUGUGGUCUCUGGGUCCACGACUGCCAGAGUGGCUUGGGGGCACAACAGCCUGUGUGCCCUGCUUAACAGAUGUUUGUUCUGUGCUGCAUUAGCCUCGGGUACCACCCCUGCCAUCCAGCUGCUACUCCCCCCAUCCGUUCAGACCCACCUCCCCCGUGCCCUUGCUCUCCCUCAUGCCCACAGUGACAGUUUCCAAGGUCACCACCAUCUUCAUUAGGAACAGGGUUAUUCAAAUGCUGGUUGCAUAUCCAUUAUGCGUGUGCGUGUAUGUGUAUGUGUUGGAAAGAAGGUUGUGGGCCCACAUGGCAAAGCUCAGCCUGAUUUCAGCAAGUUACCUAAGAGUUCCUAUACCUCUAUUUCAUCAUCUGUAAAGUGGGGGAAAUAACGGCACCCUGACUGUUCCACGGGGCACCUGCUAUUAUGUGUGUGCAAGAAGGAUAAGGGGCCUAUCAUUGUGCGUCGUGUGACAACGCGUUGUAAACCAAACAGGGCAACCUGUGAACACACAUGUAAAAACCAGAGUAAAACCCUUCUAGCCUUAUAAAUCCUUUGCUGAAAUGUGAGGUAUAAUUACUGUCACUUCAUCAGACAGGAACAACCAAGUCUCCCAGCUGUGUGUGGCUGUCUCCCUGCUCCUGGGCCCCGCAUGUAUAGCAACGUGGGCAACAGCAGAUGAGGCCCAGACAGGCUGGCAGUUGUCCUCUUGGAGCUGACUUGGCCUGUAGUUGCCCCUGUGGCCCCAGGAGGUGUGGGGGGGGAGGGAGCACCUACCUCUGCUGGCUCCCCAGGUCCAAGGAUGUGGGGUUAUCCCAUAGUCCUCUGGACACAGUCUGCAAAGGUGAUUCUCAUUGCUGGGAAUCCCCAGUCCCUUUUGGGAAGAGCAAGUCCUACCUGUGUGACCUCAUCUGAGGUAAUAGCCAGCACCAGAAUCGAGACCCUGAGAAUGUGGCCGAGUCAGGGUUGUGAUCACUUUGCUUCUGGGAUGGCCCCCCUGAGCCAUGGGGUCUAUGGGUCUCAGGUCUCAGGACCUGUUUUUGGGGUGUGAGGGAGAGAUCUGAUGACUGUCAUGGGUAGAAGUCCUCCAGGUUGGAAGGCACCUUUGAGGACACAAGCUGUCCCCUCAUUCCUCUGCUCUGGUGCUUCCGGGCACAGAAAACACCUUCCUCUGAAGGCAGCCUGUUCUGGCCACACAGUUCUGACUAUCACAGAGCUCAUCCUCCGAAUCCACCAAGCAGUCUAGGUCUUGGGCCUUCUGCUCCUGGGCCCUGGUUCUGCCUUUUAGGCCAAGGGAUACCGGUGAAGCCCUCUUCCGCUUGACAAUGCUGUGACCAUCUGCAGACAGAUGUCUGUCACGGAGGCCACUUCUGCAGGCACCCAGCUCCCCUGCUUGCUCUCCUGCUCCCCCAUUAAUGUCUUGGCCUUUCCCCAUGAGCGCCCCCCACCCCCCAUUCCUGCUUUGUUGGGCUCUACAGGCAGGGUGGCCAGAAUUCCAAGAGCAGUAGAGACUGAGUGGGGACUGACAAGCUGUGUACCUGGGGUGAAUUCCUGUGCCCCUCUGGGCCUCAGGCUCCCCAUCUGUAAAUGAAGGAGAUUGGACAAAAUAAUCUCUUAAGUCCCUCAAGCGUUAACAAUCUAAAUCAAGGACUCUCUAGGGACAACUGUGCUGUCUGAGCCGCCUCCCUAGAAAGACCUUCUGGCCGUGAGGGGCCUUCUCCUCCCAGGGCCUGUCAGCCAGGGGCUAGGAGAUUAAAGAGUCUGUUCGGCUGUCAGCUGUUGGCUCAUAACUCCUGGAGCCGGUGGUGAGGGGCCUUGUAGGCGGAAGGAUGACUGAUCUUUACUGGGUCUUACAGGUUUCUGGUUGCCAGUUAUAGGAACUAUGUUUAUGCUGAGAAUUGUUAAAAACAAAACCAAAAAAUCCCUCUGGGUUUUGGGGAGGUAGAGGACUUGGGCAUUUGGAGCCGUCCUGCUCAUCGGGAUAGGACUGCUUCCCUAGGGGGAUUUGCAGACGGAGACUUUCUGGUCACCUCCAGGACUAGGGUAGGGGUUGCUGGCAUUCAACUGUGGGAGGGUGUCCCAGGGAUGAGAUGUUGGAAGGCUGGGACAGUCCCAAGUACAUAAGAAAUGUCAUAACCCGAACUUCUCUCCUUCACCAGAAAAUCCCCCGUCAUGGUGUGUGCACACCCUGGAGACAGUCUGAGUCCAGAAUGUGAUGUGCUCAUUGAGAAAUGCAGCUAUGGCUAGUGUGUGAACACACCGAGAUUACUUGACCUAAUAUCGUUUUCUUUUCUUCUCUCCUUCCUUCCUUCCUUUGUUUCUUUCAGUUUCAGAGGUAGAAUUGACUGAUUCCCCAUUUGUGUUUAACACCCAGGUUCAUUCCACCAACUAACCUCCUGUUUCCUUAUCUGUAAAAUGGGGUCUGGGCAGUAGCUACCUUAGAGGUGGUUGUAGGGGUUAAAUGGACUGUAGUGCCAGGCGAGGGCUGCUCACAGUGCUUGGCACAAGAUAAUGUUACUGAGAAAUGGUGAUGGUAAGCGGUGGGUCAGGUGUGCUGGUUUGGGGGAAGCAUGGGACUUGGUCUGGGCUGCUCAGUCUUGCCCUGGGGCAAGUUCCAACUCAGAGGGCCUGUAAAUGCUCUGACACCCUCUGGGGAGACUCGCCCCUCUCCUCCCCAGGGUCUAGCCUCAGGAUGUCUCAAAGGUGUGAACACACGGGAAGCAGGUUUUCUGAUGAAGGAACCAGACCCUGUCUCCUGGGUCCUGACCCGGUUGUGCUGAGGUCCCAUUGGUGGAUUCCCUCUGGACCCAGUUUUUCCAGCUGUGGGAUACAAACAAGUGAGGGCAAAUAAUCUAUCUUGUGUGAAAACCUUUGUAUGCAAAUGCAGCGUGGUAAUGAACUUGGUAAAUUAACCCCAGAAACUCACCAGGCCAGAUCCGCAU